Non-coding RNA from Vicia faba (fava bean), 216 nucleotides. Lineage: Eukaryota; Viridiplantae; Streptophyta; Magnoliopsida; Fabales; Fabaceae. The record is from the annotation of a GenBank genome assembly.
AUGCUGACCUUUGUGGUUGCAUUGAAUAAUAAUUUGUUUUCUUGGUUUUUGAUUGAGAAAUAUUCAUUUGUUCAUGCAAUUCGAUUCGAGUUUCAUUUGGUUUUCAAUUCACUUGUGGUUACUAACGUGUUUAUGGUUUGUGCAAGCUUACAAGAGUUCUCAAGUUCCUUUCUCCUCACAAUUCCAUUCUACUUCCUAUAUCUAUUUUCAUUUUAA